AUGGUUCGAAAUUACAGGCUGCUCGACGAAAUGAGGCUGUGGGUGGUCGUCAUAUGGCUGUUUGUUUGUGCGGCGGCUCUUCCUGGCGGCGAGCAGCCGCUGUCGAGGAUCGCAGUUGAGAGAACAACCCUCGCCAUCGAUGACUCGGUGCAUGUAAAGGCGUCCCCGUUGGUUCUUGGGCUCAAGGGCGAGAACAGCGAGUGGGUAGAGGUGGAGUUCUUCCAUCCAAAUCCCUCCGAUGACGACUGGAUUGGUGUGUUUUCUCCUGCCAAUUUCAGUGAUGCGAUAUGCGAGCCUGAAAAUGAGAGGCAGCAACCUCCAGUGCUAUGCACAGCACCUAUCAAGUACCAAUUUGCAAAGUUCAAGAAUGAUGGCUAUAACAGGUCUGGGAAGGGAAACUUGAAGCUUCAGUUGAUCAACCAGAGGGAAGACUUCUCUUUUGCACUAUUUUCCGGUGGUCUGAUGAAGCCCAAGCUGAUUGCUGUCUCAAACAUGGUCACCUUUGCAAACCCAAAGGCACCUGUCUACCCACGUUUGGCACAAGGGAAGUCUUGGGAUGAAAUGACAAUCACCUGGACAAGUGGAUACGAUAUAAAAGAAGCAGUUCCUUUUGUUGAAUGGGGUGCGAAAGGCGGGUCUCAGUUUCUUUCCCCAGCCGGAACAUUAACAUUCAACAGAAAUAGCAUGUGCGGAGCACCUGCUCGAACUGUUGGUUGGCGCCAUCCGGGUUACAUUCAUACUAGUUUCUUGAAGGAUCUGUGGCCAGACUCCAAGUAUACCUACAGGCUUGGCCAUAGGUUACCAAAUGGUACCCACAUCUGGAGCAAGUUAUAUAACUUUAAAGCAUCACCUUAUCCUGGGCAAGAUUCCUUGCAACAAAUUGUCAUAUUUGGAGAUAUGGGAAAGGCAGAGGCAGAUGGUUCUAAUGAGUUCAAUGACUUCCAACCUGGCUCACUGAACACUACUAACCAGAUCAUUAAAGACCUAGAAAACGUUGACAUGGUGCUUCACAUUGGGGACAUUUGCUACGCCAAUGGCUACUUGUCUCAGUGGGAUCAGUUCACCUCACAGAUUGAACCAAUUGCAUCAACUGUACCAUACAUGAUUGGCAGUGGUAACCAUGAAAGAGACUGGCCCGGGACUGGAUCUUUCUAUGGGAAUCUUGACUCAGGUGGAGAAUGUGGUGUUCCUGCGCAAACUGUAUUCUAUACUCCUGCUGAGAACCGUGCAAAAUUCUGGUAUGCGACAGAUUAUGGCAUGUUCAGGUUCUGCAUUGCUAACACAGAAGAAGAUUGGAGGCCAGGGACCGAGCAGUACAAGUUCAUUGAGCAAUGCCUGUCAUCCGUCGACAGGCAGAAGCAGCCCUGGCUCAUCUUUCUGGCGCACCGUGUUCUUGGGUACUCAUCCUGCACUUACUAUGAGACAGAGGGCACUUUCGAGGAACCGAUGGGACGAGAAGCGCUGCAGGAGCUCUGGCAGAAGUACAAGGUUGAUCUCGCCUUCUACGGUCAUGUCCAUAACUAUGAAAGGACAUGUCCAGUCUAUCAGAGCCAAUGCGUCGUUGAUGCAUCGGAUCAUUACAAUGGCCCGUUCAAGGCAACAACACAUGUGGUUGUUGGUGGUACUGGCGCUAGCAUUGCAGAUUCAGCAUUUACCACAUCAAAUAUCCAGUGGAGUCACUUCAGGGACUUUGACUUUGGGUUCGUCAAGCUCACGGCCUUCAACCAUUCAUCCUUGCUGUUCGAGUACAAGAAAAGCCGUGAUGGCAAUGUGUAUGAUCAUUUCACAAUCUCGCGGGAUUACCGAGAUGUCCUGGCUUGCUCCAUCGACAACUGCCCAAGGACUACGCUGGCUUCCUGA
RNAcentral lists this ribosomal RNA (1860 nucleotides) under Triticum aestivum (bread wheat). Its description in RNAcentral is "partial small subunit ribosomal RNA". The record is from RNAcentral. Lineage: Eukaryota; Viridiplantae; Streptophyta; Magnoliopsida; Poales; Poaceae.